GAAGCAGCUUGCUGUUUCGCUGACGAGUGGCGGACGGGUGAGUAAUGUCUGGGAAACUGCCUGAUGGAGGGGGAUAACUACUGGAAACGGUAGCUAAUACCGCAUAACGUCGCAAGACCAAAGAGGGGGACCUUCGGGCCUCUUGCCAUCGGAUGUGCCCAGAUGGGAUUAGCUAGUAGGUGGGGUAACGGCUCACCUAGGCGACGAUCCCUAGCUGGUCUGAGAGGAUGACCAGCCACACUGGAACUGAGACACGGUCCAGACUCCUACGGGAGGCAGCAGUGGGGAAUAUUGCACAAUGGGCGCAAGCCUGAUGCAGCCAUGCCGCGUGUAUGAAGAAGGCCUUCGGGUUGUAAAGUACUUUCAGCGGGGAGGAAGGGAGUAAAGUUAAUACCUUUGCUCAUUGACGUUACCCGCAGAAGAAGCACCGGCUAACUCCGUGCCAGCAGCCGCGGUAAUACGGAGGGUGCAAGCGUUAAUCGGAAUUACUGGGCGUAAAGCGCACGCAGGCGGUUUGUUAAGUCAGAUGUGAAAUCCCCGGGCUCAACCUGGGAACUGCAUCUGAUACUGGCAAGCUUGAGUCUCGUAGAGGGGGGUAGAAUUCCAGGUGUAGCGGUGAAAUGCGUAGAGAUCUGGAGGAAUACCGGUGGCGAAGGCGGCCCCCUGGACGAAGACUGACGCUCAGGUGCGAAAGCGUGGGGAGCAAACAGGAUU
Molecule: ribosomal RNA, 714 nt
Filed under: Shigella flexneri
Lineage: Bacteria; Pseudomonadati; Pseudomonadota; Gammaproteobacteria; Enterobacterales; Enterobacteriaceae
Description: bacterial SSU rRNA
Rfam family: Bacterial small subunit ribosomal RNA
Source: RNAcentral